CCGCUGAACCUCCUUCGUGGUUGGGAUUGGGGACUGCAAUGAUCCCCAUGAACCAGGAAUCCCUAGUAGGCGCGGGUCACUAGCCCGCGUCGAUUACGUCCCUGCCCUUUGUACACACCGCCCGUCGCUACUACCGAUUGAAUGAUUUAGUGAGGCCUUCGGACGGGCUUGUCGGGGUGCCGUCGCGUGGGGAGCAAUCUCUGCGCGCGCGGUGCCUACCAACGGCGAGACUGAAAGAUGGUCGAACUUGAUCCUUUAGAGGAAGUAAAAGUCGUAACAAGGUUUCCGUAGGUGAACCUGCGGAAGGAUCAUAA
RNAcentral lists this non-coding RNA (314 nucleotides) under Daphnia magna. Its description in RNAcentral is "Eukaryotic small subunit ribosomal RNA". It matches the Rfam family "Eukaryotic small subunit ribosomal RNA", at positions 1551 to 1831 of the family's 1831-position model. The record is from Rfam by way of RNAcentral. Lineage: Eukaryota; Metazoa; Arthropoda; Branchiopoda; Diplostraca; Daphniidae.